This 71-nucleotide transfer RNA is filed under the name Candidatus Altimarinota bacterium. RNAcentral's name for it is "tRNA-Arg". It matches the Rfam family "tRNA". From Rfam's summary of the family: Transfer RNA (tRNA) molecules are approximately 80 nucleotides in length. Their secondary structure includes four short double-helical elements and three loops (D, anti-codon, and T loops). Lineage: Bacteria; Candidatus Altimarinota. The record is from RNAcentral.
AGGAUCGUAGUUUAAUGGUAGAAUGCUGGCCUCCGAAGCUAGCGGUGUAGGUUCGAUUCCUACCGAUCCUG